CCUACGGGUGGCAGCAGUGAGGAAUAUUGCUCAAUGGGCGCGAGCCUGAACCAGCCAAGUAGCGUGAAGGAUGACUGCCCUACGGGUUGUAAGCUUCUUUUAUAAAGGAGUAAAUGGAGGCACGUGUGCCUUUUGGUAUGUACAUUAUGAAUAAGGAACGGCUAACUCCGUGCCAGCAGCCGCGGUAAUACGGAGGUUCCGAGCGUUAUCCGGAUUUAGUGGGUUUAAAGGGAGCGUAGAUGGGUUGUUAAGUCAGUUGUGAAAGUUUGCGGCUCAACCGUAAAAUUGCAAUUGAUACUGGCAGCCUUGAGUACAGUUGAGGUAGGCGGAAUUCGUGGUGUAGCGGUGAAAUGCGUAGAUAUCACGAAGAACUCCGAUUGCGAAGGCAGCCUACUAAACUGCCACUGACAUUGAUGCUCGAAAGUGUGGGUAUCAAACAGGAUUAGAUACCCGAGUAGUC
Molecule: ribosomal RNA, 460 nt
Filed under: uncultured bacterium
Lineage: Bacteria
Description: partial 16S ribosomal RNA
Rfam family: Bacterial small subunit ribosomal RNA
Source: RNAcentral